Molecule: ribosomal RNA, 274 nt
Filed under: uncultured bacterium
Lineage: Bacteria
Description: partial 16S ribosomal RNA
Rfam family: Bacterial small subunit ribosomal RNA
Source: RNAcentral
AUACGGAGUGUGCAAGCGUUAUCCGGAAUCACUGGGUUUAAAGGAUGCGUAGGCGGCUAAAUAAGUCAGAGGUGAAAUCUUCCUGCUUAACGGGAAAAUUGCCUUUGAAACUGUAUAGCUUGAAUUAAGUUGAGGUUAGCGGAAUGUGACAUGUAGCGGUGAAAUGCAUAGAUAUGUCAUAGAACACCAAAUGCGAAGGCAGCUGGCUAGGCUUAUAUUGUCGCUGAGGCACGAAAGCGUGGGGAGCGAACAGGAUUAGAUACACUAGUAGUCC